RNAcentral lists this ribosomal RNA (501 nucleotides) under Gnetum indicum. RNAcentral's name for it is "SSU rRNA". It matches the Rfam family "Eukaryotic small subunit ribosomal RNA", at positions 782 to 1286 of the family's 1831-position model. Lineage: Eukaryota; Viridiplantae; Streptophyta; Gnetopsida; Gnetales; Gnetaceae. The record is from RNAcentral.
AGCCUAUGCUGUGAAUACAUUAGCAUGGAAUAACGCGAUAGGAUUUCGAUCCUGUUGUGUUGGCCUUCGGGAUGGGAGUAAUGAUUAAUAGGGACUGUCGGGGGCAUUCGUAUUUCAUUGUCAGAGGUGAAAUUCUUGGAUUUAUGAAAGACGAACUAGUGCGAAAGCAUUUGCCAAGGAUGUUUUCAUUAAUCAAGAACGAAAGUUGGGGGCUCGAAGACGAUCAGAUACCGUCCUAGUCUCAACCAUAAACGAUGCCGACCAGGGAUCGGCGGAUGUUGCUCUUAGGACUCCGUCGGCACCUUCCGAGAAAUCAGAGUGUUUGGGUUCCGGGGGGAGUAUGGUCGCAAGGCUGAAACUUAAAGGAAUUGACGGAAGGGCACCACCAGGAGUGGAGCCUGCGGCUUAAUUUGAAUGAACACGGGAAAACUUACCAGGUCCAGACAUAGUAAGGAAGAGAGAUUGAGAGCUCUUUCUUGAUUCUAUGGGUGGUGGUGCAUG